AGCAGAGUCAGCUAAUUGCCAAGCUGCUGGGCCCAUACCCCAGAAAUGAAGGUUAGACCCCCUCCUCUGCUA
RNAcentral lists this transfer RNA (72 nucleotides) under Lactarius lactarius (false trevally). Its description in RNAcentral is "tRNA-Met". It matches the Rfam family "tRNA". Rfam says of the family: Transfer RNA (tRNA) molecules are approximately 80 nucleotides in length. Their secondary structure includes four short double-helical elements and three loops (D, anti-codon, and T loops). Lineage: Eukaryota; Metazoa; Chordata; Actinopteri; Lactariidae. The record is from RNAcentral.